CCUACGGGAGGCAGCAGUGGGGGAUAUUGCACAAUGGGGGGAACCCUGAUGCAGCGACGCCGCGUGGGUGAAGGAGCGUUUCGGCGCGUAAAGCCCUAUCGGCAGGGAAGAAGGAGGACGGUACCUGACUACGAAGCCCCGGCUAACUACGUGCCAGCAGCCGCGGUAAUACGUAGGGGGCAAGCGUUAUCCGGAUUUACUGGGGGUAAAGGGGGCGCAGACGGCAGCGCAAGCCAGGAGUGAAAGCCCGGGGCCCAACCCCGGGACUGCUCUUGGAACUGCGCGGCUGGAGUGCAGGAGGGGCAGGCGGAAUGCGUGGUGUAGCGGUGAAAUGCGUAGAUAUCAGGAGGAACACCGGUGGCGAAGGCGGCCUGCUGGACUGCGACUGACGUUGAGGCCCGAAAGCGUGGGGAGCGAACAGGAUUAGAUACCCCGGUAGUC
This 441-nucleotide ribosomal RNA is filed under the name uncultured bacterium. Its description in RNAcentral is "partial 16S ribosomal RNA". It matches the Rfam family "Bacterial small subunit ribosomal RNA", at positions 338 to 795 of the family's 1533-position model. The record is from RNAcentral.